Long non-coding RNA from Zingiber officinale, 74 nucleotides. RefSeq lists it as uncharacterized. The transcript has 3 exons. Lineage: Eukaryota; Viridiplantae; Streptophyta; Magnoliopsida; Zingiberales; Zingiberaceae. The record is from RefSeq and is a predicted model, not a curated record.
AGCAUCAAUAUCAUUAGGAUGCUCAAGAGCGACAGCCUUCAAUAUUCGCAGAUCAAUCUGUGGAAAAAUAUCUU